AGAAUCAACGCUGGCGGCGUGCCUAACACAUGCAAGUCGAACGAGAAAGUGGAGCAAUCCAUGAGUAAAGUGGCGCACGGGUGAGUAACACGUGACUAACCUACCUUUUAGUGGGGGAUAACCUAGGGAAACCUGGGCUAAUACCGCAUAAUACCUACGGGUCAAAGCAGCAAUGCGCUGAAAGAGGGGGUCGCGGCCGAUUAGCUAGUUGGCGGGGUAAUGGCCCACAAGGCAGUGAUCGGUA
This 244-nucleotide ribosomal RNA is filed under the name uncultured bacterium. Its description in RNAcentral is "partial small subunit ribosomal RNA". It matches the Rfam family "Bacterial small subunit ribosomal RNA", at positions 26 to 285 of the family's 1533-position model. The record is from RNAcentral.